UUGUCUCAAAGAUUAAGCCAUGUAUGUCUCAGUACAAGCCAAAUUAAGGUGAAGCCGCGAAAGGCUCAUUAAAUCAGUUAUGGUUCCUUAGAUCGUACCCACAUUUACAUGGAUAACUGUGGUAAUUCUAGAGCUAAUACAUGCAAACAGAACUCCAACCGGAGACGGAAGGAGUGCUUUUAUUAGAUCAAAGCCAAUCGGCGUCUGGGUUCGCCCGUUCGCCGCCCUCAUUGGUGACUCUGAAUAACUUUUGGCUGAUCGCACGGUCUUGCACCGGCGACGCAUCUUUCAAAUGUCUGCCUUAUCAACUGUCGAUGGUAGGUUCUGCGCCUACCAUGGUUGUAACGG
RNAcentral lists this ribosomal RNA (348 nucleotides) under Elaphrus cupreus. Its description in RNAcentral is "SSU rRNA". It matches the Rfam family "Eukaryotic small subunit ribosomal RNA", at positions 32 to 358 of the family's 1831-position model. The record is from RNAcentral. Lineage: Eukaryota; Metazoa; Arthropoda; Insecta; Coleoptera; Carabidae.